Molecule: ribosomal RNA, 253 nt
Filed under: uncultured bacterium
Lineage: Bacteria
Description: partial 16S ribosomal RNA
Rfam family: Bacterial small subunit ribosomal RNA
Source: RNAcentral
UACGUAGGGUGCAAGCGUUGUCCGGAAUUAUUGGGCGUAAAGAGCUCGUAGGCGGUCUGUUGCGUCGGCUGUGAAAACCCGGGGCUCAACUCCGGGCCUGCAGCCGAUACGGGCAGACUAGAGUUCGGCAGGGGAGACUGGAAUUCCUGGUGUAGCGGUGAAAUGCGCAGAUAUCAGGAGGAAUACCGGUGGCGAAGGCGGGUCUCUGGGCCGAUACUGACGCUGAGGAGCGAAAGCGUGGGGAGCGAACAGG